Molecule: ribosomal RNA, 1737 nt
Filed under: Triticum aestivum (bread wheat)
Lineage: Eukaryota; Viridiplantae; Streptophyta; Magnoliopsida; Poales; Poaceae
Description: partial small subunit ribosomal RNA
Source: RNAcentral
AUGAUACUACUUGAUGAAGAGGGUACUAUGAUACAUGGCAAGGUAAUGAAGCAUAUGGUUAACAAGUUCAGACCAUUGAUCCGAGAAGGUUUAGUCUACAUGAUAUCAAAUUUUAAGGUUAUGUCUGCAAUGAAUUUCCGCCCAGUUGAUAGCGAAAAGGUUCUAAAUUUCUUGCACACGACAAAAAUUCAAGAGAUAAAAGGUCAAAAAAAUAUCAAAAUAGCAGAACAAAGCUUCACGUUUUGUACUGUUGAAGUUCUUUACACAAGAGACAGCCAAAAGAUUUACUUAUCUGAUGUCAUUGGCAUAGCAAGUUACAUAGGACAUAUUGAAGAAACACAGACAACCCACGAGAUUUCAAAGAUUCGAGAUAUUGUGCUUCGGACUGAGGAUCAAAAAAUUAAUAUUAGACUAUGGGGUAAUAAGGUUGGUCAAAUUGAUGAAGAUUCUUUGGGGCGUGUGGUCAUCAUAACAUCAACUACUGUUAGAAAACUCAAAGAGUACUCGCUGUCAUCUACAGGUGCGACCAGAGUUUACAUCAAUUUGGAUAUCCCUGAAACAAAUGAGCUUCAAACGAGGUAUUGCUUGCAAGAUGAUAUGGUAGAAGAAAUAGAGCCAGAAGCCCAUUUGCAAGGCACAAUUCAAGAACAGAUGCUCUAUAACAGAAGAACCCUAAAAGAAAUAACUGAAAUUACAUAUGAAUCUGAAAAACAGGAAAAGUUCUAUACUGCAGAAGCAAUGAUUAAGUCAAUUAAUACAUCAGAUGAGUGGUACUACAUAGGAUGCCGUAAAUGCAACAAAAAUGUACAGAAACAAGGGAACCACUUCUACAGUCUGAAAUGUGAAAAAGAACCUGAGAAGAUAUGUCCAAGGUACAAACUGAAACUAGAGAUAUGUGAUCUGAGUGCAACAACAACUUGCGCCAUGUUUGAGGCAGAAGCAAAAAAAUUGAUUAAGCAAUCUGCAAGUGUUUUGAUAGAGAGGGAUGAUUGUGAUAUCCAUGAGCAGACAAAACAAAUCCAGAAAAUAUGUGGGCAGAGAUUGAUUUUUCAAUUCAGAUUGAAUGACUAUAAUUUGAAGUACGGUUAUCAAGAAUACACUAUUCAUAGAAUCUUUUUCGUAGAUUCUGAAAAAGAUACAUCAGUAAAUCAUUCAAAUGUUGAGCAGAUGGAGGAUGAUAAACCCAUUCUAAUAGACACUAAAAAGACUAGGAGGACUAGGAACACACGUCAUGUUGUACAUUCUGAUGAAGAAUCAGAAAAUCUGGAUAGUCAAGAGAAAGAUGAAUUCAUAUCUGUUGUUGAUAAGGAAUCUAAGAAAAAGGGAAUUCAAAAAGAUAGCCAUGAGCAAGCGGACAAGUUAUCAGUUAUGAAAACUAUAAAGCAAGAACCAGAGGAUGGUGAACCCACUAUUAACCGGACUAAAAGGGGUAGGAGAAGUAGCACAACUCAUGUUGUACACCUUGAUGAAGAACCAAAAACUGAAGGUAGUCAGGAAAUAAUGAAAUCAAAAUCUAUGGAAGCAGGCCCCAAGAGGAAACGCGCCGUAACUCGCAAAUGUGUUGGUAUUAAUAGCAAACAAGUAAAGAAUGACCAUGAAGAAGAAUCAGAACAGGCAGGUACUGAGGAGCACAAUGAUUCAAGGCCUAGGACAAGGCGUAGUUGUGUCAAUAAAGAAUUGAUGAACAAAGACAUUCAGAAGUGUGGUGUAUCAAGAACUCGAAAGUCAAAUCACUGA